Molecule: long non-coding RNA, 2993 nt
Filed under: Heterocephalus glaber (naked mole-rat)
Lineage: Eukaryota; Metazoa; Chordata; Mammalia; Rodentia; Bathyergidae
Description: lncRNA (ENSHGLG00000032566.1)
Source: RNAcentral
GUAUUUUCUUUUGAGGGGCAGUAAAUAAGAGUCUUUUAUGUUGACAAUGAUAAUAUUAUAUUCUACAAUCUAUUUGCAUUUCUCUUUCUGUGGAUUUUAUUGCUUGGUAUAAAUCCCCAGUAUGAGGCACAUUAAAUUUCACAUAGGGCUGGACAGCUAUGUGUACAAGAUGCUACCUGUAGGAAUUGGGUUUUUCCCAGAUAUGAAGGGGGAAUACACAGAAAGGAAGAAAUGCGUAUGUGCAUGCAGGUUUGGGCACAUGCAUAUGAAACCUGGAGGGAUUCUCUUUGGAUCCACAGUCCAAAUGGACUUCCAAGAAGGAGCUGGUAUGACCACAUGCUUCUUCCAUUGUGCCACAUGCAGCCCAUCUUGAUCAGCCAGGUUCUCAGGAGACUGAUCAGCACCUGCUGUAGCUCUGGCCAAAGCUGUUUUUGGGACCAUGUGAAGGACAGAAAACUAAAAUGUGGGCACAAAAGCAUCUAAGACUUGCAGCAGAGUUGAGUCUCCUACCACUUUCUGUGAGUCUGCUGAAUACUUUUCAGUAUGGGAGCAUCCUUUCCAACACACAAGUCAGGAACUGCUGAGAUACAUCACGGUGCAAGCUUGAUCCAAAAUUGAUGUUAACCAUUGACUGUCAACUGAAGACUUCUAUGUGCCACUCACUGUGCUAAGCACCAUCUCAUUUAAUCCUCACAACAGUCCUUCAAGGAACUUCAAAACCAGGAAAAUUCCAGAAUGUUCCUCCCAUCUUUCUGAUCCUUUGUACUUUGAUGUAUAAGGCUCAUCCCAUACACCUGCAACAUAGCAGCUGCAGCUCACAGCAUUAUAAACAUCAAAAUCAAUGUCUACCAAAAGAAGGAUGUUUAUUUCCAUGAAUAGCUCAUAUACCCAUGUGCAAGGAAGGCUAUGAAAGACUAUGUCCACUGUUUUCAGGCUCUGUGAAGGGAAAUGGGGUCUGUCUACAAGGAAGAAGUCUUUUGGGUGGCAGGAGAGUGGCACUUGUCAUAACUGUCAAAGAAGAGCCUAUUGCCCUACUAACAGAUAGCUGUCUGUCAUGUGGAACAUGGAAAAAUGAAGCCCAGGGAAAUUCCUGAUGUAUUUUCUUCUCCAAUCACCCCACUUUUCCCUCAUCUUAUAUUGGCCACUUCAUCCUGUUCCCCACACCUUGUCAGGAUCUCUUACUACAAAGAUAAAUUGCACCAGGCAUCCAUAAUCUUCCAGCACCUGAUCUUCACAAUAAUCUCCAUUUUACAGUUUGGGAAGCUGAGACUUAGAGAAGUAAAGGGAUUUUCCCAAGGUCCCACAGAUGGGAGAGGGGAAACUGGGUUGGAACUCUGUUCUCCAUGACUCUAGAGUCUGCCUUCUUAGAAACCAUUGUUAAAUUGUCCUGACUUAAAGAAUCUGGGCUCUGACUCCAGAUCCUGUGAGCUGGAGCCUUAAUUUUCAUUUGGCUAGUAGCUCGCUGGCCCAAGACCAAACAGGCAUUGAUUGCUCCUCUUUCUUACCUUGCUUAACCUCAAAUGACCCUUUAUUUAGCCUGUCUCUGGCUGGCUCCUUUGCUCCUACUACUCACUUUCUUGGUUUGUGUAUGUGGAUGGGAAGGGGAAUAAAGGGGAAUAAUAUCUAUCUGCCACCUCCUGGAGUGCCUCUCUGUAGGUAACUCAGAUAUAAAAUUACCCUGAGCCCCUGCUCUGCCCCUGGCAAGCCUCAGAAGGAGCAUGGGCAAUCAGAUCUGAUCUUGGAAUCACUGAUGUGGAAAAGCCAGGGGAACAAAUCUUGUUGGCUCUGGGCAGGUGCAGCUGUCACUGUCUCCAGCCCCAAGUUCUGGCUGGCUGGCCCCCUUCCUGGGAGUCAGGCCCAGGUAGGGGAGGGUCAGGGUGCUGCAGAAGAGAAAGGGAGCUGGGUACUUUGUGUGCUUUAACAUAGCCAUGGCCAUGCUGGUCCCAGUAGCCUCUCUGCUAGAACAAACCUGUUCCUCACCCUGGAAAGAAAACCCCUGGACAGGUGAGAUUCCACCUGUCAAAUAAACACACUUACGACUGUUGUUCAUUCUUCCACAAAUAAAGGCCAUCAAACAUUCUUAAUCUCCGGGGCCAGGCUUUUUGGGCAGUGACUCUCCUUCCUAUAGGCACUUCCCAUAGUCCUGACUCAGAAGUGACCUCUCAGGCACUUAAAUAGUAAUCUGCUCCAUCUUGUCUAUGUCCUGUGCCAGUUUGCACAUCCCCUUCUCUGGAUCUAAAAUGUCCCUACAGGAAGAAUACUCAUCUUGCUCUUAUAAUGGAGAAACCACUUGAGGGCAGAAGAUGUUCACCCUACAAACAUUUCAGGAGCCUGCAGUGGACUCAGGCUGAUUUUCUGAGCUUAAAAACUGCACCUGCCUGUCCAUCCAUCCAUUCAUCCAUCCAUCCAUCCAUCCAACCAGCUAAGUGCACGUCCUGUGCCAGACACUGAGAAUCCAGGAACUGAGGAAUUCAGGAACUGUCUCUCUUUAUGCAGAGCUUGCUGAGUAGUGAAGGACACUGAAAGGUCGGCCCAUCAUUGCGGGGCAGGGAGCUAAGGAUGUAGAUGGAGGCCCAUUCAUAUCUUACUCAGAACUUCGAGCGACUUAGCCCUGCCGUCACUUCAACUCUUUCCGGAGCAGAAAACCCUCUCAGGAAACACCCAAAGCAGGGAUUAACUAGAUUAAUAUUUUGGAAAGAUCGUGCUGUACUUGUGAAGGACCACUUUAAGGAAGCUGAAUAGUGAAGUUUCAUCAUGGCAGCUGUGGUGCUGGAUGUCUGGUUCAAGUCUCAGGCCUCCCGGUUAGUAGCUGUCUGAUCUUGGGCAAGUUACUUAGCCACUUUGUACCUUCAGUUAAAGCAGGUAGUGCAAGUCCUGGUGCAUAGGAGAUCAGCAUUUGAUUAAAGGUGACCAUUCUCUAAGUUUAUCCACUAAUCAGUUCGGGUGGCCACACCCUGUGAGUGUGACGGGGCUUUCAGUUGUCAUUAUAGGGC